CCUACGGGGGGCAGCAGUCGAGAAUCUUCGGCAAUGGGCGAAAGCCUGACCGAGCGACGCCGCGUGUGGGAUGAAGGCCCUUGGGUUGUAAACCACUGUCAGAGGGGAUGAAGUGCACGUGAGUCAUCUCAUGUGUUUGACAUAGCCUCAGAGGAAGCACGGGCUAAGUUCGUGCCAGCAGCCGCGGUAAUACGAACUGUGCAAACGUUAUUCGGAAUCACUGGGCUUACAGGGUUCGUAGGCGGCGUGUGAAAUCCCUCGGCUCAACCGAGGAAUUGCGCCCUGAACUGGCGAGCUGGAGUGGGACAGAGGUGCGCGGAACUUCCAGUGGAGCGGUGAAAUGUGUUGAUAUUGGAAGGAACGCCGGAGGCGAAAGCGGCGCACUGGGUCUCAACUGACGCUGAGGCACGAAACCCAGGGGAGCAAACGGGAUUAGAUACCCCUGUAGUC
RNAcentral lists this ribosomal RNA (450 nucleotides) under uncultured bacterium. RNAcentral's name for it is "partial 16S ribosomal RNA". It matches the Rfam family "Bacterial small subunit ribosomal RNA", at positions 338 to 795 of the family's 1533-position model. The record is from RNAcentral.